GACAGAGGGUGCCAACGUUGCUCGGAAUUACUGGGCGUAAAGCGCGUGUAGGCGGCCGCGCGAGUCGGGUGUGAAAGCCCGGGGCUCAACCCCGGACGUGCAUCCGGUACUACGCGGCUGGAGGCCUGAAGAGGAGGGCGGAAUUCCCGGUGUAGAGGUGAAAUUCGUAGAUAUCGGGAGGAACACCAGUGGCGAAGGCGGCUCUCUGGACAGGUGCUGACGCUGAGACGCGAAAGCGUGGGUAGCAAACAGGAUUAGAUACCCUGGUAGUCCACGCCGUAAACGAUGAGCACUGGGUGUCGCGGGUAUUGACCCCCGCGGUGCCGAAGCCAACGCGUUAAGUGCUCCGCCUGGGAAGUACGGCCGCAAGGCUAAA
RNAcentral lists this ribosomal RNA (376 nucleotides) under uncultured bacterium. RNAcentral describes it as "bacterial SSU rRNA". It matches the Rfam family "Bacterial small subunit ribosomal RNA", at positions 524 to 898 of the family's 1533-position model. The record is from RNAcentral.